GGCACUAUAGCUUAGUGGUUUAGAGUGAUAGGGCUAGUGACCAAAAGGUACUGGUGCAAAUCCAGCUGGUGUCA
Molecule: non-coding RNA, 74 nt
Organism: Hysterangium stoloniferum
Lineage: Eukaryota; Fungi; Basidiomycota; Agaricomycetes; Hysterangiales; Hysterangiaceae
Source: the annotation of a GenBank genome assembly